This 497-nucleotide ribosomal RNA is filed under the name uncultured bacterium. Its description in RNAcentral is "partial 16S ribosomal RNA". It matches the Rfam family "Bacterial small subunit ribosomal RNA", at positions 28 to 507 of the family's 1533-position model. The record is from RNAcentral.
GAUGAACGCUGGCGGCGUGCCUAAUACAUGCAAGUCGAGCGAACGGACGAGAAGCUUGCUUCUCUGAUGUUAGCGGCGGACGGGUGAGUAACACGUGGAUAACCUCCCUAUAAGACUGGGAUAACUUCGGGAAACCGGAGCUAAUACCGGAUGAUAUUUUGAACCGCAUGGUUCAAAAGUGAAAGACGGUCUUGCUGUCACUUAUAGAUGGAUCCGCGCUGCAUUAGCUAGUUGGUAAGGUAACGGCUUACCAAGGCAACGAUGCAUAGCCGACCUGAGAGGAUGAUCGGCCACACUGGAACUGCGACCCGGUCCAGACUCCUACGGGAGGCAGCAGUAGGGAAUCUUCCGCAAUGGGCGAAAGCCUGACGGAGCAACGCCGCGUGAGUGAUGAAGGUCUUCGGAUCGUAAAACUCUGUUAUUAGGGAAGAACAUAUGUGUAAGUAACUGUGCACAUCUUGACGGUACCUAAUCAGAAAGCCACGGCUAACUACGUG